AAAGUCUUAAGUUAAGUAAACUAGUAGCCUUCAAAGCUGAAAAUAAAAUCUCUUUUUAGGCUUUA
RNAcentral lists this transfer RNA (65 nucleotides) under Xenogryllus marmoratus. RNAcentral's name for it is "tRNA-Trp". The record is from RNAcentral. Lineage: Eukaryota; Metazoa; Arthropoda; Insecta; Orthoptera; Gryllidae.